AUUGAACGCUGGCGGAAUGCUUUACACAUGCAAGUCGAACGGCAGCACGGACUUCGGUCUGGUGGCGAGUGGCGAACGGGUGAGUAACAUAUCGGAACGUAUCCAAUAGUGGGGGAUAACUAAUCGAAAGGUUGGCUAAUACCGCAUACGCCCUACGGGGGAAAGCAGGGGAUCUUCGGACCUUGCGUUAAUGGAGCGGCUGAUAUCUGAUUAGCUAGUUGGUGAGGUAAAGGCUCACCAAGGCGACGAUCAGUAGCUGGUCUGAGAGGACGACCAGCCACACUGGGACUGAGACACGGCCCAGACUCCUACGGGAGGCAGCAGUGGGGAAUUUUGGACAAUGGGCGCAAGCCUGAUCCAGCCAUUCCGCGUGCAGGACGAAGGCCCUCGGGUUGUAAACUGCUUUUGUCCAGAACGAAAAGGUUUCUACUAAUACUAGGAGCUCAUGACGGUACUGUAAGAAUAAGCACCGGCUAACUACGUGCCAGCCGCCGCAGUAA
This 500-nucleotide ribosomal RNA is filed under the name uncultured bacterium. Its description in RNAcentral is "partial 16S ribosomal RNA". It matches the Rfam family "Bacterial small subunit ribosomal RNA", at positions 30 to 523 of the family's 1533-position model. The record is from RNAcentral.